Molecule: ribosomal RNA, 373 nt
Filed under: Yamadazyma atlantica
Lineage: Eukaryota; Fungi; Ascomycota; Pichiomycetes; Serinales; Debaryomycetaceae
Description: eukaryotic LSU rRNA
Rfam family: 5.8S ribosomal RNA (bases 1-75)
Source: RNAcentral
AUUUCGUGAAUCAUCAAAUCUUUGAACGCACAUUGCGCCCUCUGGUAUUCCAGGGGCAUGCCUGUUUGAGCGUCAUUUCUCUCUCAAACCUUUGGGUUUGGUAGUGAGUGAUACUCGUCUCGGGUUAACUUGAAAGUGGCUAGCCGUUGCCAUCUGCGUGAGCAGGGCUGCGUGUCAAGUCUAUGGACUCGACUCUUGCACAUCUACGUCUUAGGUUUGCGCCAAUUCGUGGUAAGCUUGGGUCAUAGAGACUCAUAAGGUGUUAUAAAGACCCGCUGGUGUUUGUCUCCUUGAGGCAUACGGCUUUAACCAAAACUCUCAAAGUUUGACCUCAAAUCAGGUAGGGGUACCCGCUGAACUUAAGCAUAUCAAU